Molecule: non-coding RNA, 838 nt
Organism: Misgurnus anguillicaudatus (oriental weatherfish)
Lineage: Eukaryota; Metazoa; Chordata; Actinopteri; Cypriniformes; Cobitidae
Source: RefSeq, a predicted model, not a curated record
UCGGAGUUGAGCUUCACAGAGCAGUGCAACAGGACGACACGACAGACAUGAAGAGCAUUAACAGUUCAGCGCAAACGUUUCCCGCGCAAGUUUGAAUCUCUCUCAGUCAGGGGGUGAUUGACUGACAGACUACGUUACUCUCUACCAAACGGUUAUUCACUUAUAAAACCUUUUAAAGUUUAGCGCAAAUGUUUCCUGUGCAAGUUUGAAUCUCUCUCAGUCAUGGGGGUGAUUGACUGACAGACUACGUUACUCUCUACCAAACGGUUAUUCACUUAUAAAACCUUUUAAAGUUUAGCGCAAAUGUUUCCUGUGCAAGUUUGAAUCUCUCUCAGUCAUGGGGGUGAUUGACUGACAGACUACGUUACUCUCUACCAAACGGUUAUUCACUUAUAAAACCUUUUAAAGGUAACAUUACCACAUUUAUUAAUUUAUUUAUUAUGUUGUUUGAGUACACCACAGCUCUGUAAGUGAAAAAUUAAUUCAUAUUUAUGUGUUCUUUCUCACAGUUUAGCACAAAUGUUUCCUGUGCAAGUUUGAAUCUCUCUCAGUCAUGGGGGUGAUUGACUGACAGACUACGUUACUCUCUACCAAACGGUUAUUCACUUAUAAAACCUUUUAAAGUUUAGCGCAAAUGUUUCCUGUGCAAGUUUGAAUCUCUCUCAGUCAUGGGGGAGAUUGACUGACAGACUACGUUACUCUCUACCAAACGGUAAAGUUUAGCGCAAAUGUUUCCUGUGCAAGUUUGAAUCUCUCUCAGUCAUGCGGGUGAUUGACUGACAGACUACGUUACUCUCUACCAAACGGUUAUUCACUUAUAAAACCUUUUAAAGGUAAC